GCGUUGCCACCCUCCACCGCACUGAGCUCCCCUCUCGCGUUGCCCUCUUCAAUCGCGCCUCAGCGGGCGCGUCCUCCCUCAUGUUGCCCUCUACCAUACUGCCGCGACACCAGCCAUCGUAGGCACGGUCAUUGAAGCUCGCCACUAGGAAGCUGUGCGAAGGCCUCCUCCCUGCUCGUCACCGAGAUUGUUGCGAUGCUCUCCCUGACUGACGCCCACUAACACGGUAAUCUCCUCUUUGCAGUGCUGUUUCAAUUUUUAUGUUCUUCGUGCCAAUAACUUUCCAGGUUUAAAUAAAAGUGUGCUGAAUAUUUUGUAUUUCUUUUUUAAAUAUGUUGGAGUUUCUUUUUCAUGAGGUUGAAUGUUUAAUUUACUCAUGCUGAAUUUUUUUUCAUGGAUGAGACUUACAUAAACUAUUAUUUUGUGGCUUUGAGAAGACCAAAGCUUUUGGGAUGUUAUUGAAGAAGAGUCAAGGUCUUUGGGUCCUCUUUGGGUCCUCUUGUUCUACUCUAUAGAGUAUGUUUGUGUGAUACCUAGGAUUUAGAUGUUCUUUCAUUUUGGAAACUGAGCACCAUGGAAACUAAGCUCAGCACUACAAGAAGGGAUUUUGCAGCAGAAAUUUUUGGCUCUUCUGCUAAGCCUAGAUCAAUCAGGGCUCAAGCUUCUUCUGGUUUUUCUUAUAUUGCUUAUUUAUGCCUUUGAUUUAUUUGGUUUAUUAGAUAUAUUCUGAGAUAUCUAUAAAGUUCAUCAAUGAUAUGUGAACUAUGAGGUGGUUGAUUUUGAUUUGCAUAUACACAUGUAUAUUAGAUAUACGUGAUUUUCAUUUUCAUACCUAGACUGCUAACUUGAUAUCUGAUUUUAUUGUUAAAUUACAGCAAAGAUUCAUAUUGCAAUAGAAAAGAUGAUUUGUUGGAUAAAUGGGCAUGUUUGACAAUAUAAAAAUAGAAAUUAAUGCAUCGUAAUCAUGGAUCAAUUUAUGGCUUUGAUUUUGAUUCAUUAUUUUUAUAUAGUUUUUCACUAUUUGAAAUUGCUAUGUUGUCAUAGACGGUAGGUUGUCUAACAUCUUUAAAUUGAGACACAAUUCUGCAUUUUAUUGUGUUGUUUUUGUUGAGUAUUUAUAUUCUACGUUGCAGGAUGAAAUAUGUAAAUCCAUUUCUAAAAUAGGUGGUAUUGAUGCAAUACUCAAAUGUAUAGAGGACAGUGGUGAGCAACACAAUAAAGUUGUGGCCAAAGUGUGUUGCUCAUUACUUUCGAAGUUGGCAAGAAAUGAUACAAAUAACAGUAAAAUUGUUGGAAAAGGUGGGAUGGAUAAGCUAAUUAAACUUUCAGCCGGGUUUAAUGAUGAUCCUUCGGUUUUGCAAUAGAGACUCUUACAAAAAAGGUUUCCUGAUAUACUUGGAUUUGUACCAUAUCUUGCAUCUCAAAGCAUAAUAGAAAUGGCGGAGAGGACAGAAGCUAUCAGUGAAAAUACAAUUGUUUCUUCUUCAAGUCCAAGAGUUUUGAGAAUUGGGGUGCUGUUUACUUUGAAUUUCGUCAUUGGAAGAUCAGUAAAAGCCACAGCCACCUAUUGAAAAUCCUUUUCUGAAGACCCUUAAGAGAACAAAGUCUGGAAAUGUUGUAGGAUCAAUAAGGGUGUUGAAUGAUGUGGGCGAGCUUAACAAGUUGCAUAGGGAUUGAGAUAUAUCAUAUACUAUACUUUAAGCCGUUUAAACGAUGUUCAUUUUACUAUAAUUACAGAUGGUUCUAUCCAUUCUAAAGUGAAUGGUUAUUUUGGUUAUACUAUUUGUAGUACAAUUUAUUACCCUGUUGUGUUAAUGUAAACAAAAAAAUUAAAAGAAAAAAUAAAAUA
Molecule: long non-coding RNA, 1849 nt
Organism: Arachis duranensis
Lineage: Eukaryota; Viridiplantae; Streptophyta; Magnoliopsida; Fabales; Fabaceae
Exons: 3
Source: RefSeq, a predicted model, not a curated record